AGCGAAUGCUGGAGCUGAUGACACAAGCCCAAGCACGGGGAGCAGCUGGCUGGCUGCUGAAGGGAAGCACUGUGUGCUGUGGCGACAGCCCCUGCCCUGUCAGUGCUGCCAGGAGCAAGGAGCUUCCCAGCUGGCUUGGAGCACAGGGGGGACCCUGCAAGCAGCUCUUUCCAGCAGCUCUUCUCCUCCGGAACUAGCCACAGGAACCCACACGGUGAGAGUUAACCACCCUGGCCCAACGGUUUCUUCAUAAAUAAGGAUUAUUAAUAAACAGU
RNAcentral lists this long non-coding RNA (275 nucleotides) under Falco tinnunculus (common kestrel). RNAcentral describes it as "lncRNA (ENSFTIG00000007368.1)". The record is from RNAcentral. Lineage: Eukaryota; Metazoa; Chordata; Aves; Falconiformes; Falconidae.